GCCCUUCGGGGUACUCGAGUGGCGAACGGGUGAGUAACACGUGGGUGAUCUGCCCUGCACUUUGGGAUAAGCCUGGGAAACUGGGUCUAAUACCGAAUAUGACCACGCGCUUCAUGGUGUGUGGUGGAAAGCUUUUGCGGUGUGGGAUGGGCCCGCGGCCUAUCAGCUUGUUGGUGGGGUAAUGGCCUACCAAGGCGACGACGGGUAGCCGGCCUGAGAGGGUGACCGGCCACACUGGGACUGAGAUACGGCCCAGACUCCUACGGGAGGCAGCAGUGGGGAAUAUUGCACAAUGGGCGCAAGCCUGAUGCAGCGACGCCGCGUGAGGGAUGACGGCCUUCGGGUUGUAAACCUCUUUCAAUAGGGACGAAGCGCAAGUGACGGUACCUAUAGAAGAAGGACCGGCCAACUACGUGCCAGCAGCCGCGGUAAUACGUAGGGUCCGAGCGUUGUCCGGAAUUACUGGGCGUAAAGAGCUCGUAGGUGGUUUGUCGCGUUGUUCGUGAAAACUCACAGCUUAACUGUGGGCGUGCGGGCGAUACGGGCAGACUAGAGUACUGCAGGGGAGACUGGAAUUCCUGGUGUAGCGGUGGAAUGCGCAGAUAUCAGGAGGAACACCGGUGGCGAAGGCGGGUCUCUGGGCAGUAACUGACGCUGAGGAGCGAAAGCGUGGGGAGCGAACAGGAUUA
Molecule: ribosomal RNA, 689 nt
Filed under: Mycolicibacterium fortuitum
Lineage: Bacteria; Bacillati; Actinomycetota; Actinomycetes; Mycobacteriales; Mycobacteriaceae
Description: bacterial SSU rRNA
Rfam family: Bacterial small subunit ribosomal RNA
Source: RNAcentral